UUGGAUUUAAACCCCAAAUAUAAAGAUAUUACUUUUUUUAGAA
Molecule: transfer RNA, 43 nt
Filed under: Ropica subnotata
Lineage: Eukaryota; Metazoa; Arthropoda; Insecta; Coleoptera; Cerambycidae
Description: partial tRNA-Leu
Source: RNAcentral